This 442-nucleotide ribosomal RNA is filed under the name uncultured bacterium. RNAcentral's name for it is "partial 16S ribosomal RNA". It matches the Rfam family "Bacterial small subunit ribosomal RNA", at positions 338 to 795 of the family's 1533-position model. The record is from RNAcentral.
CCUACGGGGAGCAGCAGUGGGGAAUAUUGGGCAAUGGGCGCAAGCCUGACCCAGCAACGCCGCGUGAAGGAAGAAGGCUUUCUGGUUGUAAACUUCUUUUAAGAGGGGAGUGCAGACGACGGUACCUCUUGAAUAAGCCACGGCUAACUACGUGCCAGCAGCCGCGGUAAUACGUAGGUGUCAAGCGUUAUCCGGAUUUACUGGGUGUACAGGGCUUGUAGGCGGGAGUGCAAGUCAGAUGUGAAAACUAUGGGCUCAACCCAUAGCCUGCAUUUGAAACUGUACUUCUUGAGUGCUGGAGAGGCAAUCGGAAUUCCGGGUGUAGCGGUGAAAUGCGUAGAUAUACGGAGGAACACCAGUGGCGAAGGCGGAUUGCUGGACAGUAACUGACGCUGAGGCGCGAAAGCGUGGGGAGCAAACAGGAUUAGAUACCCCUGUAGUC